CUUACAUCUUGGAACUCUCUAGUGACUUCAAAUUACUCAAUGAGAAGACACAAUGGAGUCGCUAGGGAAAUUUUACCCUCCAAUGCCUGGGCUUUGCACUUACAUGAACCGUUUUUAUGCUAUUUUAUAACAGAAUCAUUUGUCUCCUUACCCUUUUUGGGGGCGGGCACCACCAGGCUCCUAUUGGGCAGUGUGAUUUUCCCCUAGCACCACUGCAUUUUUUCAUUUCUUUCUAGUAUCAUUGUGGCCUUAGGCUUUUUGUAAACCCAGCUGGUUCCAAUUAAGUAUAAUCACUGUUUUCUUUCUGAUGAUCUAAAAGUAGAACUAAACUAGGGUCACUGCCCUCAAGAGACUUAAAUUCUGUUUGGAAAAACAAGAUCCAACAUACAUGAAAAACACAGUGAACAAAAGGAUGUGGCGAGUGCAGACCUGAAUCUGGGCCACUGAUGGAUUCAAUACCCACAGGAUAUCUGUUCCAGACAAGCUGCCAAAGGACAAACGAUGAUCUCUCUGGAAGCUAGGACUGCAGCCCUGAUUACUUUUAGGACAGCUGCCCCAUCACUGUCUCCCAGGCUGGCCUAAGUUUCUGGACCUUUCUCUGUUCUAUCUUCUGUCCUGUAUCCAGUGUCUGCAAAAGGGGACACCCUUGCUGGGCCUUUACCCCAAGCCCCAGGCCCCAGCAUCAUCCCUGAAUGAAGGGUCACUCAGAGACCGCAGGAGCAGGUUAGAAUUCUGCAUUUUCUGAGCCAUCUCAGGUGAGUCCAUGCUGACACUAUAUUUUCACAAGGAAAAAAAUUCAGGAACUAGAACCGGGAGACAAAGAUAACAGCCUGGUGCCAACUUGGUGCAUUGACUUUAACCAAAUCAUUGGGUGCUGAUCCUUAGUCCUCAGUCCCCACCAGAAUAAUCCUUCCCCAGGGAACAGUAAAGUCACUGUCUCACAUCUGAGCUAUGGUUUCCUCCUAGGCUUCUUCUCCACAUCGUCCACAGGACAGCUGGCUGCUGCCUGAUGAUUCACUAGGAGGCCUGGCCCCUUGACAGAGCAAAUUCCAGUGAGGACUGCAAAUGGCUUCCAGUGUCUGUUUGCCCAAGGCCUCCUGGGAACUGAGGGCCUGGCAUGAGCACAGCGGGGAACUGCAAACCAGGCAUUUUAUCCUGUCUGCUGUCUCUCACUCAUCACUUCCCUGAGGAAAGUUCAAAUUCAAAACAAAACAGCCGUUUUUGCAAAGCCAGCCGUUUUGCUCCACGGACCUGGGAAAGAUUUGAUGUAAAACCAGUUCUCAGGAAGCUGCACAUGAUUCACAGAUCUUAAUGCUGCCGGAGGCACAGAGUGCAAAGGAGAGAGCGGGGAAGAGAGGAAUGUAGCUGUCUCACCUUGGAAAGGGGGUAAACUGAGGCAAGGCUCAGCCGGAAAGUGAGUGAUAGGAAUCAACAGGAGGCACCACCGCUGCCAUUUCAUCUGGUUCAGUGUUCAUCCAGUGACUCUCCUCUCCGAGCCUUCUGCAGACACAGACAGGCAUUCAGAAACCAGCCUGCUGGAGACAUUACAGACUCGGGCAGCAGAGUGGGGUGAUGGGACACAGGAAGGUCGACAUUCAGAGAUGGG
This is a long non-coding RNA of Heterocephalus glaber (naked mole-rat), 1606 nucleotides long. The record is from Ensembl. NCBI's taxonomy places the organism in Eukaryota, Metazoa, Chordata, Mammalia, Rodentia, Bathyergidae.